This 65-nucleotide transfer RNA is filed under the name Dipodomys ordii (Ord's kangaroo rat). It matches the Rfam family "tRNA". Rfam says of the family: Transfer RNA (tRNA) molecules are approximately 80 nucleotides in length. Their secondary structure includes four short double-helical elements and three loops (D, anti-codon, and T loops). Further hydrogen bonds mediate the characteristic L-shaped molecular structure. tRNAs have two regions of fundamental functional importance: the anti-codon, which is responsible for specific mRNA codon recognition, and the 3' end, to which the tRNAs corresponding amino acid is attached (by aminoacyl-tRNA synthetases). tRNAs cope with the degeneracy of the genetic code in two manners: having more than one tRNA (with a specific anti-codon) for a particular amino acid; and 'wobble' base-pairing, i.e. permitting non-standard base-pairing at the 3rd anti-codon position. The record is from Rfam by way of RNAcentral. Lineage: Eukaryota; Metazoa; Chordata; Mammalia; Rodentia; Heteromyidae.
GGUGGCUCAAUGGUAAAGUGCUUGCCUUGCAUGCAUGAGGCUCUGGGUUCGAUUCCUCAGCACCA